Molecule: ribosomal RNA, 467 nt
Filed under: uncultured bacterium
Lineage: Bacteria
Description: partial 16S ribosomal RNA
Rfam family: Bacterial small subunit ribosomal RNA
Source: RNAcentral
GACGAACGCUGGCGGCGUGCUUAACACAUGCAAGUCGAACGGAAAGGCCCUGAUUUUGUGGGGUGCUCGAGUGGCGAACGGGUGAGUAACACGUGAGUAACCUGCCCUUGACUUUGGGAUAACUUCAGGAAACUGGGGCUAAUACCGGAUAGGAGCUCCUGCUGCAUGGUGGGGGUUGGAAAGUUGCGGCGGUUGGGGUUGGACUCGCGGCAUAUCAGCUUGAUGGUGGGGUAGUGGAGUACAAAGGCUUUGACGGGUAGCCAGCCUGAGAGGGUGACCGGCCACAGUGGGCUAGAGAUACGGCCCAGAGGCCUACGGGCGGCAGGAGCGGGGACCAGACGAAGAAGCGCGGAAGGAGGAAAGAGCAUCGCCGGGUCCUGGAUGUCUGCUUUUGGGGUGUAACACAUUUGUACGUGACUAGAAGCGUGAGUAAGGGUACUGGGCAAAGAAGCACGGCUAAAUUACGU